Molecule: non-coding RNA, 27 nt
Filed under: Mus musculus (house mouse)
Lineage: Eukaryota; Metazoa; Chordata; Mammalia; Rodentia; Muridae
Source: RNAcentral
UAAGGUAAACAUUGGGACACUAAGCAC